Ipomoea nil (Japanese morning glory) is the source of this 73-nucleotide transfer RNA. It matches the Rfam family "tRNA". Rfam says of the family: Transfer RNA (tRNA) molecules are approximately 80 nucleotides in length. The record is from Rfam. Lineage: Eukaryota; Viridiplantae; Streptophyta; Magnoliopsida; Solanales; Convolvulaceae.
AACUCUAUGGCUUAAUGGAUAAGGUGUUGGUUUAUGAAACCAGAGCUUUUGGGUUUGAUCCCCAUUGUAGUCG